RNAcentral lists this transfer RNA (74 nucleotides) under Sphaerodactylus townsendi. RNAcentral's name for it is "tRNA-Ala". It matches the Rfam family "tRNA". Rfam says of the family: Transfer RNA (tRNA) molecules are approximately 80 nucleotides in length. Their secondary structure includes four short double-helical elements and three loops (D, anti-codon, and T loops). The record is from RNAcentral. Lineage: Eukaryota; Metazoa; Chordata; Lepidosauria; Squamata; Sphaerodactylidae.
UGUGGGGUGUUUCAGUGAUAGACGAUCUGCUUGGCACGCAGAAGGCCUCAGGUUCGAUCCCCGGGCCCCCCCAG